AUUAGAGUUUGAUCCUGGCUCAGGACGAACGCUGGCGGCGUGCUUAACACAUGCAAGUCGAACGGUGAAGCCCAGCUUGCUGGGUGGAUCAGUGGCGAACGGGUGAGUAACACGUGAGCAACCUGCCCUCCACUUCGGGAUAAGCCCUGGAAACGGGGUCUAAUACCGGAUACGAGCACUCGACGCAUGUCGGGUGUUGGAAAGUUUUUCGGUGGGGGAUGGGCUCGCGGCCUAUCAGCUUGUUGGUGGGGUAAUGGCCUACCAAGGCGUCGACGGGUAGCCGGCCUGAGAGGGCGACCGGCCACACUGGGACUGAGACACGGCCCAGACUCCUACGGGAGGCAGCAGUGGGGAAUAUUGCACAAUGGGCGAAAGCCUGAUGCAGCGACGCCGCGUGAGGGAUGACGGCCUUCGGGUUGUAAACCUCUUUCAGCAGGGAAGAAGGCCUUCGGGUGGACGGUACCUGCAGAAGAAGCGCCGGCUAACUACGUGCCAGCAGCCGCGGUAAUACGUAGGGCGCAAGCGUUGUCCGGAAUUAUUGGGCGUAAAGAGCUCGUAGGCGGUUUGUCGCGUCUGGUGUGAAAACCUCAGGCUCAACCUGGGGCGUGCAUCGGGUACGGGCAGACUAGAGUGCGGUAGGGGAGACUGGAAUUCCUGGUGUAGCGGUGGAAUGCGCAGAUAUCAGGAGGAACACCGAUGGCGAAGGCAGGUCUCUGGGCCGCAACUGACGCUGAGGAGCGAAAGCAUGGGGAGCGAACAGGAUUAGAUACCCUGGUAGUCCAUGCCGUAAACGUUGGGCACUAGGUGUGGGGCUCAUUCCACGAGUUCCGUGCCGCAGCUAACGCAUUAAGUGCCCCGCCUGGGGAGUACGGCCGCAAGGCUAAAACUCAAAGGAAUUGACGGGGGCCCGCACAAGCGGCGGAGCAUGCGGAUUAAUUCGAUGCAACGCGAAGAACCUUACCAGGGCUUGACAUGCACCGGACGCUGCCAGAGAUGGUGUUCCGCAGGUCGUGCACAGUGGUGCAUGGUGUCGUCAGCUCGUGUCGUGAGAUUGUUGGGUUAAGUCCCGCAACG
This 1074-nucleotide ribosomal RNA is filed under the name Isoptericola sp. J-1. RNAcentral's name for it is "bacterial SSU rRNA". It matches the Rfam family "Bacterial small subunit ribosomal RNA", at positions 1 to 1094 of the family's 1533-position model. Lineage: Bacteria; Bacillati; Actinomycetota; Actinomycetes; Micrococcales; Promicromonosporaceae. The record is from RNAcentral.